Molecule: ribosomal RNA, 253 nt
Filed under: uncultured bacterium
Lineage: Bacteria
Description: partial 16S ribosomal RNA
Rfam family: Bacterial small subunit ribosomal RNA
Source: RNAcentral
UACGGAGGGUGCAAGCGUUAUCCGGAUUCACUGGGUUUAAAGGGUGCGUAGGCGGGCAGGUAAGUCAGUGGUGAAAUCUUUGGGCUUAACCCGAAAACUGCCAUUGAUACUAUCUGUCUUGAAUAUUGUGGAGGUAAGCGGAAUAUGUCAUGUAGCGGUGAAAUGCUUAGAUAUGACAUAGAACACCCAUUGCGGAGGCAGCUUACUACGCAUAUAUUGACGCUGAUGCACGAAAGCGUGGGGAUCAAACAGG